CACGAGAUCAUAGUUGAGGGUUUCCACAAUACAAGGAUCAAGAUGAAAUACUACAAAAAUACGAACAUGUAUCAAAGCACUAUCUCCAAGCUAAACUGCCAUACAUCAUGUACUACAUCAAAUAAACACAAUCCUCAAAACAAAAGUACAAGAAAUAGGCCCUAGCCCUCGCCAGUACAAGGUGUAGUACAUAGUGGCCUUCUAAUUGGUGAUCCUCAAAUGUAUAGGCCUGCUGGUGGGACAUGCUAUCUAUUGAGCGAUUCUCCUCACCUCGAACAGCCGUCAGCAUGUGAAGCUCUGAAAAGUAAACAACAAAAGGGUAUGAGAACUACUGAACAGUAGUUCCUAGUGGGUAUGGUCGACGAUAACCACGACCUUUCUACUAGGUCUAUUGGAUGCCAGAUUAGUGAAAGAACAGUAACAUAUGCGAUAAAGAGUAGCUGAAUGUAACUGACUAUCAUGUAUAUAGGUAAAUGAGUGACUGUAAGUAACAGUAAAGAUAACUGGCUCUAAUCUGAACAAAUAAAUGUAAAGCCUAGUAAAAGACUAACUAGCUAUGACAGGUAUGGAGAAACAUAAAGUAACAGUAAAGGGAUAACUGCAUGUAAUAUAAACAGAUCUCUAUACCUAUUGUACUAUCAUGUUCUUGUACAUGUAGUUAGAGGAAAGGAAAGAAACUAAAUAGUGUAUGCAUCAAUAUAACUACUACUAAACAAAUGCCAUAAUAGUACCCAAUCACAACGACCGACUCAUACGUCG
Molecule: long non-coding RNA, 759 nt
Filed under: Ananas comosus (pineapple)
Lineage: Eukaryota; Viridiplantae; Streptophyta; Magnoliopsida; Poales; Bromeliaceae
Description: long non-coding RNA (ACOM_LNC017238)
Source: RNAcentral